This 499-nucleotide ribosomal RNA is filed under the name uncultured bacterium. RNAcentral describes it as "partial 16S ribosomal RNA". It matches the Rfam family "Bacterial small subunit ribosomal RNA", at positions 30 to 523 of the family's 1533-position model. The record is from RNAcentral.
AUUGAACGCUGGCGGUAUACUUAACACAUGCAAGUCGAACGAUGAGAAAGAGCUUGCUCUUUCGAUUAGUGGCGGACGGGUGCGUAACGCGUAGGAAUCUACCUAUUAGUGGGGGACAACUUAGGGAAACUUAAGCUAAUACCGCAUACGCCCUACGGGGGAAAGAAGGGGAUCGCAAGACCUCUUGCUAAUAGAUGAGCCUGCGUAGGAUUAGCUAGUUGGUGGGGUAAAAGCUCACCAAGGCGACGAUCCUUAACUGGUUUGAGAGAAUGAUCAGUCACACUGGAACUGAGACACGGUCCAGACUCCUACGGGAGGCAGCAGUGGGGAAUAUUGGACAAUGGGCGAAAGCCUGAUCCAGCAAUACCGCGUGUGUGAAGAAGGCCUUAGGGUUGUAAAGCACUUUCAAUUGGAAGGAAAACCUCGAAGCUAAUACCUUCGAGUUUGACAUUACCUUUAGAAGAAGCACCGGCUAACUCCGUGCCAGCCGCCGCUGUAA